UACGUAGGGUGCGAGCGUUAAUCGGAAUUACUGGGCGUAAAGCGUGCGCAGGCGGUUUUGUAAGACAGAUGUGAAAUCCCCGGGCUUAACCUGGGAACUGCGUUUGUGACUGCAAGACUCGAGUACGGCAGAGGGGGGUGGAAUUCCACGUGUAGCAGUGAAAUGCGUAGAGAUGUGGAGGAACACCGAUGGCGAAGGCAGCCCCCUGGGUCGAUACUGACGCUCAUGCACGAAAGCGUGGGGAGCAAACAGG
Molecule: ribosomal RNA, 253 nt
Filed under: uncultured bacterium
Lineage: Bacteria
Also listed under: 1 other name
Description: partial 16S ribosomal RNA
Rfam family: Bacterial small subunit ribosomal RNA
Source: RNAcentral